AUAGGAUUUGGUGUGUCUUUCUUCUUGAUGUUCUCUGUCUAUGCAGCCAGUUUCUAUGCAGGAGCUCAACUUGUCAAGCAUGGGAACACAACAUUCUCAGAUGUUUUCCAGGUUUUCUUUGCUCUAUCCAUGGCAGCUUUGGUAAUUUCUCAAUCGAGUUCUUUUGCUUCUGAUUCUUCCAAGGCCAAGAAUGCCGCUGCUUCCAUAUUUUCAAUUUUAGACUGAAAGUCAAAGGUAGAUCCAAGCAAUGAGUCAGGAAUGACAAUAGAGAAUGUUAGAGGAGAAGUUGAACUUUGCCAUGUAAGCUUUAGGUAUCCAUCCAGGCCAGAUAUUCAAAUCUUACAAGACCUCAAUUUGGCUAUUCAUUCUGGCAAGACUCUGGCUCUAGUUGGAGAAAGUGGAAGUGGGAAGUCGACCGUCAUCUCAUUGUUGCAAAGAUUUUA
RNAcentral lists this unclassified non-coding RNA (443 nucleotides) under Hevea brasiliensis (rubber tree). Lineage: Eukaryota; Viridiplantae; Streptophyta; Magnoliopsida; Malpighiales; Euphorbiaceae. The record is from RNAcentral.